GAAGUUAACGCAUUAACCACUCCGCCUGGGGAGUACGGCCGCAAGGCUUAAACUCAAAGGAAUUGACGGGGACCCGCACAAGCGGUGGAGCAUGUGGUUUAAUUCGAAGCAACGCGAAGAACCAUACCAGCUCUUGACAUCUUCUGACAACUCUGGAGAUAGAGUGUUCCCUUCGGGGACAGAAUGACAGGUGGUGCAUGGUUGUCGUCAGCUCGUGUCGUGAGAUGUUGGGUUAAGUCCCGUAACGAGCGCAACCCUUGUUGCCAGUUCUCAGCAUUUAGUUGGGCACUCUGGCGAGACAGCCGGUGACAAACCGGAGGAAGGUGGGGAUGACGUCAAAUCAGCAUGCCCCUUAUGAGCUGGGCUACACACGUGCUACAUAUGUGAUGGUACAGCUGAGUCGCUAAACCGCGAGGUCAAGCUAAUCUCCUAAAUCCAUUAUCAGUCCGGAUUGCAGGCUGCAACUCGCCUGCAUGAAGCCGGAAUCGCUAGUAAUCGUGG
This 501-nucleotide ribosomal RNA is filed under the name uncultured bacterium. Its description in RNAcentral is "bacterial SSU rRNA". It matches the Rfam family "Bacterial small subunit ribosomal RNA", at positions 848 to 1347 of the family's 1533-position model. The record is from RNAcentral.